GGGCGGUUAGCUCAGUUGGUAGAGCAACUCGUUUACACCGAGUAGGUCGGGAGUUCGAGCCUCUCACCGCCCACCA
RNAcentral lists this transfer RNA (76 nucleotides) under Alphaproteobacteria bacterium. RNAcentral describes it as "tRNA-Val". It matches the Rfam family "tRNA". Rfam says of the family: Transfer RNA (tRNA) molecules are approximately 80 nucleotides in length. Their secondary structure includes four short double-helical elements and three loops (D, anti-codon, and T loops). The record is from RNAcentral. Lineage: Bacteria; Pseudomonadati; Pseudomonadota; Alphaproteobacteria. RNAcentral also lists the same sequence under 1 other name.